GUUAAAGUAGCUCAGUUGGGAGAGCGUUAGAUCGAAGAUCUAGAGGUCCCUGGUUCAAUCCCAAGCUUUAGCA
Non-coding RNA from Malaclemys terrapin pileata, 73 nucleotides. The record is from the annotation of a RefSeq genome assembly. Lineage: Eukaryota; Metazoa; Chordata; Testudines; Emydidae.